GCUAAGGAUCAACCGGUACAGGUUUCGACC
RNAcentral lists this ribosomal RNA (30 nucleotides) under Acacia pickardii. RNAcentral describes it as "partial small subunit ribosomal RNA". The record is from RNAcentral. Lineage: Eukaryota; Viridiplantae; Streptophyta; Magnoliopsida; Fabales; Fabaceae.